GAGGAAUAUUGGGCAAUGGGGGAAACCCUGACCCAGCAACGCCGCGUGAAGGAAGAAGGCCUUCGGGUUGUAAACUUCUGUGACAGGGGACGAAAGAAAUGACGGUACCCUGAGAGGAAGCCACGGCAAACUACGUGCCAGCAGCCGCGGUAAUACGUAGGUGGCGAGCGUUGUCCGGAAUCACUGGGCGUAAAGGGCGCGUAGGCGGCGACACAAGUCGCAUGUGAAGGACCAGGGCUUAACCCUGGGAGGUCAUGCGAAACUGUGUUGCUUGAGUGCAGUAGAGGUAAGCGGAAUUCCUGGUGUAGCGGUAAAAUGCGUAGAGAUCAGGAGGAACACCGGUGGCGAAGGCGGCUUACUGGGCUGCAACUGACGCUGAUGCGCGAAAGCGUGGGGAGCAAAC
RNAcentral lists this ribosomal RNA (403 nucleotides) under uncultured bacterium. RNAcentral describes it as "bacterial SSU rRNA". It matches the Rfam family "Bacterial small subunit ribosomal RNA", at positions 356 to 773 of the family's 1533-position model. The record is from RNAcentral.